Molecule: long non-coding RNA, 1077 nt
Filed under: Aotus nancymaae (Ma's night monkey)
Lineage: Eukaryota; Metazoa; Chordata; Mammalia; Primates; Aotidae
Description: lncRNA (ENSANAG00000038673.1)
Source: RNAcentral
GGAUUAUAAAAAGGAGAAUCACCAAGUCAGUCAUUGUUACAGAUAAUUCUGCUAAUGUUUAAGUAAAAAUUAUAUAAAACAAUCUGAUUUUAUCUUGUUAACAAUGAUAUCCUGGAGAGUUAAGUUCAUGACUGUGUGCAACUUCUGAAGAAAUUACCAUGUAUUCAAAUGUUAUUGUCUUUGCUCACAGCAUUUCUGCACCUGCUAUCUUAUAAUUGUCAAUAGAGAAUAUUCACAUCUGCAAAGAAUGUAUCUUAUUUCAUUACAAUUAUAAGAUACUUCACUGGAUGUAAUUUUUUUCUCCUUCUGUCAUUCUUCCUGACCCCUUUUAAAAAUUUUUGCUUUGCUCUGUGCCCUUUUUCCAUCAGCCCUCGUGUCAGUUCCCUGGUGGGGUGUGCUGGGGACGUGCAGGGGGCACACUGAGGAGAGAUGCUGGAAGCAAACUGGAGAAUGAAAACUGGAGACCACAGUCAUGGUCCCUCUACAGAAGGUCUGGCCUCCAGUUGGUCUCUUGGCCAAAACACAGGGGAUGUGCUGUUUCUACAUAGGCAAGCUGUAACUUUAACAUAAACAAGCUGAUUUUCCUCUCCUUGCAUUUUCUUUUUGUUUUGUUGUUGUUUCUCCUGGUCAGGAAGAAAUGACUGGUUCUGUUCUUAUGUUGAGGGACCUUGUGAGCUUCUCUAGUAAGCUAAGUUUUAUGAGUGCAGUUCUCAUCCUCAAGUACACCUGGGCGCUCCUUGCUCAAGGCGCCAGUUCUCAGGGCCAUUUGUGGUUGAGAAAGGAGUGAGGCUUGAGCUCAUCGGUCUCAUAUCCAGAGUCUGGGAAGUCUCUGAGCAAGAAAACUCAAAGGAUGAAGGCUAUCUACGUGAGGAAGGAAUUAUGGUCAUCUCAGAUUUAUUGUUGGUAAAUCACACUUUUUCUCCAUCCAUAAAAAUACUGAUUCCCUCUCCCAGGAUGUUAACCUGUAUUUGUAAUUACUUCUCAAAACCAAAAACAGAAUCAGUUUCUGAAGUACUGUGUGUAUUUUUCUGGGUGGAGUUUGGUAUUUGGAGACUUUCAUUUUGAAUUUUAAGUAUU